UAACGGCUCACCAAGGCUUCGAUGGGUAGCUGGUCUGAGAAGACGAUCAGCCACACUGGGAUUGAUACACGGCCCAGACUCCUACGGGAGGCAGCAGUGGGGAAUCUUGCGCAAUGCGCGAAAGCGUGACGCAGCACUGCCGCGUGGGGGAAGAAGGCUUUCGGGUUGUAAACCCCUUUCAGUUGGGACGAAGCUUCUCCGGUGAAUAGCCGGACGGAGUGACGGUACCUUCACAAGAAGCACCGGCUAACUACGUGCCAGCAGCCGCGGUAAUACGUAGGGUGCAAGCGUUGUCCGGAAUUAUUGGGCGUAAAGAGCGUGUCGGCGGCCCCAUUAGUCCGCUGUGAAAGUCCAGGGCUCACCCCUGGAAUGCCGGUGGCUACUGUGGGGCUAUACUCCCGAAGGGGCGGAGUGGAAUUCCUGGUGUAGCGAUGAAAAUG
Molecule: ribosomal RNA, 440 nt
Filed under: uncultured Rubrobacterales bacterium
Lineage: Bacteria; Bacillati; Actinomycetota; Rubrobacteria; Rubrobacterales
Description: bacterial SSU rRNA
Rfam family: Bacterial small subunit ribosomal RNA
Source: RNAcentral